Long non-coding RNA from Gavialis gangeticus (Gharial), 445 nucleotides. RefSeq lists it as uncharacterized. NCBI's taxonomy places the organism in Eukaryota, Metazoa, Chordata, Crocodylia, Gavialidae. The transcript is spliced from 3 exons. The record is from RefSeq and is a predicted model, not a curated record.
CGGGGACGGCAGCCAUUGUGUGGAACCGGGGUGUUGUCCGUGAUGGAGAUGAUCUCCAACCCCCCCAUGAUCACCCCCUGGAUGGCAGCCUAACGCCCAGGUCCCAGGCCUUUCAAUAUCACUCGCACAUGGGACACACCCUUCCUGCAGGCUUUCUGAGGAGAGAAUAACUGUUUAGUGCUCUUGGUGAGGAGGGGCAGGCAGAUCUCUAUGGCCGCUACACAAAGCUGAGGAACUGAGGGCUGAUAGGAAACAGGUGAUUGAAAGCAGUUUCAACACAAUUUGUGUGUCCUGCAUACUAAUUCCAAGUAAAGUAAAAAAGUAAACAGACAUGUGAAGCUACUCUGAGCUUGGACUUGAGGUAGCAGAUGAUGUAUCCUCUGAACCUGGGCAGAGAAGGAGGAACUAGAACUCUCUAAAGCUUGCUUCCAACAGCUGGUUUCUU